CUCAGGAUGCAGAGUGUGUCAGGAUUUCUCUCCAUGGCCUGGUCCUUCUUGGGCCUCCUCUUGUUCCUCACUUAUCCUUCAGGUUCCUCCUCCCAGCCGGUGAUGACUCAGAGACCCUCAGCAUCCUUUUCCUCAGGUGAGACAGUCCGUCUCCCCUGCACCUUGAAUGCUGGAUACAGUAUCAGCAGCUAUAGGGUCCGGUGGUAUCAGCAGAUAUCAGGUGGUGCCCCACGGUUUGUAUACCACUACUACAGGAGUAGUGAUCAGGGCAGAGGCUCAGGGGUCCCAGGGAGAUUCAGUGUCUCCCCUGAUUCCUCCAACAACCUCUGGAAUUUAGUGAUCACAGGCGCUCAAGCUGAAGAUGAAGCUUAUUAUUACUGUGGCAUGUGGUAUAGCAGCAGCAACAUGUUCCACGGUGGUACAAUCUGA
This is a non-coding RNA of Zootoca vivipara (common lizard), 429 nucleotides long. The record is from the annotation of a RefSeq genome assembly. NCBI's taxonomy places the organism in Eukaryota, Metazoa, Chordata, Lepidosauria, Squamata, Lacertidae.